This 397-nucleotide long non-coding RNA is filed under the name Ananas comosus (pineapple). Its description in RNAcentral is "long non-coding RNA (ACOM_LNC034720)". Lineage: Eukaryota; Viridiplantae; Streptophyta; Magnoliopsida; Poales; Bromeliaceae. The record is from RNAcentral.
AGAAUGCUCAGAGGGGGGAGCGUUUCAGCAAGGGCAGGGGGAGAGGAGAGUAAACGCUUUGCAUACAGAGAGUUUUGGUUUGGUUUUAUUUACAGGUUUAGAUAGGGUUCGGUUCGGUUCGGUUCGGUUCGGUUCAGAGGUUCAGAGAGAGGGAGUUCUAUGGUUCGGUUCAGAUCACAAUUUAUAUAGAAAAUCGGUUCAAUUAUAAAAAGGGUUCGGUUCUGUUCGGUUCGGUUCCGAAACUAUAUCGGUUAGAUUAUAAAAAGGGUUCGGUUCUGUUCAGUUCGGUUCCGAAACUAUAUCGGUUUGAUUAUAAAAGGGUUCGGUUCUGUUCGGUUCGGUUCCGAAACUAUAAGAAAUAUUGGUUCAAGUUCGGUUCAAGUUAGAAUUGGUUUGG